UGCCUCAGUAACGGCGAGUGAAGCGGCAAGAGCUCAAAUUUGAAAGCUGGCCCCUUCGGGGUCCGCGUUGUAAUUUGCAGAGGAUGCUUCGGGUGCAGCCCCCGUCUAAGUGCCCUGGAACGGGCCGUCAUAGAGGGUGAGAAUCCCGUCUGGGACGGGGUGUCUGCGUCCGUGUGAAGCUCCUUCGACGAGUCGAGUUGUUUGGGAAUGCAGCUCUAAAUGGGUGGUAAAUUUCAUCUAAAGCUAAAUACUGGCCGGAGACCGAUAGCGCACAAGUAGAGUGAUCGAAAGAUGAAAAGCACUUUGAAAAGAGAGUUAAACAGCACGUGAAAUUGUUGAAAGGGAAGCGUUUGCGACCAGACUCGCCCGCGGGGUUCAGCCGGCAUUCGUGCCGGUGUACUUCCCCGUGGGCGGGCCAGCGUCGGUUUGGGCGGCCGGUCAAAGGCCCUCGGAAUGUAUCACCUCUCGGGGUGUCUUAUAGCCGAGGGUGCAAUGCGGCCUGCCUGGACCGAGGAACGCGCUUCGGCUCGGACGCUGGCGUAA
Molecule: ribosomal RNA, 543 nt
Filed under: Aspergillus fumigatiaffinis
Lineage: Eukaryota; Fungi; Ascomycota; Eurotiomycetes; Eurotiales; Aspergillaceae
Description: LSU rRNA
Rfam family: Eukaryotic large subunit ribosomal RNA
Source: RNAcentral